GCCCCCGCCUCCGCCUGCCGCGCGCGGCGGGCGGGGCGGGGGCACGGGGGGCCUACGGGAGGCAGCAGUGAGGAAUAUUGGACAAUGGCCGGAAGGCUGAUCCAGCCAUGCCGCGUGAAGGAUAAGGUCCUAUGGAUUGUAA
RNAcentral lists this ribosomal RNA (142 nucleotides) under uncultured Bacteroidota bacterium. Its description in RNAcentral is "uncultured Bacteroidetes bacterium partial 16S rRNA". It matches the Rfam family "Bacterial small subunit ribosomal RNA", at positions 328 to 428 of the family's 1533-position model. Lineage: Bacteria; Pseudomonadati; Bacteroidota. The record is from RNAcentral.